GGGGGACGAAGCCGGAGAAAUCCGGGGUAAUACCGCAUAACUUCGGGGGGGACGAUCUUCCUUCAAGAAAGGGUGGAGGGUAAGACCUUCACUCACUUUCGGAGGGGCUUGCGGCCUAUCAGCUAGUUGGUGAGGUAACGGCCCACCAAGGCGACGACGGGUAGCUGGUCUGAGAGGACGGCCAGCCGGACUGGGACUGAGACACGGCCCAG
This 212-nucleotide ribosomal RNA is filed under the name uncultured bacterium. RNAcentral describes it as "partial 16S ribosomal RNA". It matches the Rfam family "Bacterial small subunit ribosomal RNA", at positions 137 to 334 of the family's 1533-position model. The record is from RNAcentral.